GAAUCCUUCACUGCUUCCUUUUGACCUUCCAGAAGUUUUAGCUUUCAGGCUUGAGGAUAAAAGAAGUUCUAAAUGCAGCAUGUAAAGAGCACAAGACAACUGAUCAAAGUGUGUAACUGACAAAAGAAGGUGAAGAUGAGGAGAGCUUCAGGGCAAGAUUAAAAUGAAGUCCUGGGAUUCAUGGAAGCAGGCAAAAAAUAUAUACAAUUUGAUGAAGACUCUGAAAGUGGACGACACAGUAUGAAUAUACAUAAACCGUCAUGAAAGAAAAAGAAAGAAAAA
Homo sapiens (human) is the source of this 282-nucleotide long non-coding RNA. RefSeq lists it as uncharacterized. The transcript is spliced from 3 exons. The record is from RefSeq and is a predicted model, not a curated record. Lineage: Eukaryota; Metazoa; Chordata; Mammalia; Primates; Hominidae.